This 468-nucleotide ribosomal RNA is filed under the name uncultured bacterium. RNAcentral describes it as "partial 16S ribosomal RNA". It matches the Rfam family "Bacterial small subunit ribosomal RNA", at positions 28 to 507 of the family's 1533-position model. The record is from RNAcentral.
GACGAACGCUGGCGGCGUGCUUAACACAUGCAAGUCGAACGGAAAGGCCCUGCUUUUGUGGGGUGCUCGAGUGGCGAACGGGUGAGUAACACGUGAGUAACCUGCCCUUGACUUUGGGAUAACUUCAGGAAACUGGGGCUAAUACCGGAUAGGAGCUCCUGCUGCAUGGUGGGGGUUGGAAAGUUUCGGCGGUUGGGGAUGGACUCGCGGCUUAUCAGCUUGUUGGUGGGGUAGUGGCUUACCAAGGCUUUGACGGGUAGCCGGCCUGAGAGGGUGACCGGCCACAUUGGGACUGAGAUACGGCCCAGACUCCUACGGAGGGCAGCAGUGGGGAAUAUUGCACAAUGGGCGGAAGCCUGAUGCAGCAACGCCGCGUGCGGGAUGAAGGCCUUCGGGUUGUAAACCGCUUUCGCCUGUGACGAAGCGUGAGUGACGGUAAUGGGUAAAGAAGCACCGGCUAACUACGUG